CAAUAGCGUAUAUUAAAGUUGUUGCAGUUAAAAAGCUCGUAGUUGGAUUUCUGGGAGGGUGCCAAUGUCCGUCGUCGUACGUGUUGCAGCGGCGCCCUUCCAUCCUUCUGUUAACGACUUUGGGCAUUCACUUGCCGGAGUCGGGCUCAGAUAUUUUACCUUGAGAAAAUUAGAGUGUUUCAGGCAGGCUAGGCCGGAAUACAUUAGCAUGGAAUAAUGGAAUAGGACUACGGUCUCUUUGUUGGUUUGAGGGACUGCAGUAAUGAUUAAUAGGGAUAGUUGGGGGCGAUUCGUAUUUAAUUGUCAGAGGUGGAAAUUACUUGGAGUUUAUUUAAAGACGGACUACUGCGAAAGCAUUUGCCAAGGAUGUUUUCUAUUGAUCAAGAACGAAAGUUAAGGGG
This 401-nucleotide ribosomal RNA is filed under the name uncultured eukaryote. RNAcentral's name for it is "bacterial SSU rRNA". It matches the Rfam family "Eukaryotic small subunit ribosomal RNA", at positions 592 to 997 of the family's 1831-position model. The record is from RNAcentral.